Molecule: ribosomal RNA, 253 nt
Filed under: uncultured bacterium
Lineage: Bacteria
Description: partial 16S ribosomal RNA
Rfam family: Bacterial small subunit ribosomal RNA
Source: RNAcentral
UACGGAGGGUGCAAGCGUUGUCCGGAUUUAUUGGGUUUAAAGGGUGCGUAGGCGGCCCGUUAAGUCAGCGGUGAAAGCCCGGGGCUCAACCCCGGAACCGCCGUUGAUACUGGUGGGCUUGAGUAUGGACGAGGUUGGCGGAAUUGAGGGUGUAGCGGUGAAAUGCUUAGAUACCCUCAAGAACACCGAUUGCGUAGGCAGCUAACUAGGCCAUAACUGACGCUGAGGCACGAAAGCGUGGGGAGCGAACAGG